RNAcentral lists this ribosomal RNA (497 nucleotides) under uncultured bacterium. RNAcentral's name for it is "partial 16S ribosomal RNA". It matches the Rfam family "Bacterial small subunit ribosomal RNA", at positions 30 to 507 of the family's 1533-position model. The record is from RNAcentral.
AUUGAACGCUGGCGGCGUGCCUAAUACAUGCAAGUCGAGCGAACAGACGAGGAGCUUGCUCCUCUGAUGUUAGCGGCGGACGGGUGAGUAACACGUGGAUAACCUACCUAUAAGACUGGGAUAACUUCGGGAAACCGGAGCUAAUACCGGAUAACAUGUUGAACCGCAUGGUUCAACAGUGAAAGACGGUCUUGCUGUCACUUAUAGAUGGAUCCGCGCCGCAUUAGCUAGUUGGUAAGGUAACGGCUUACCAAGGCAACGAUGCGUAGCCGACCUGAGAGGGUGAUCGGCCACACUGGAACUGAGACACGGUCCAGACUCCUACGGGAGGCAGCAGUAGGGAAUCUUCCGCAAUGGGCGAAAGCCUGACGGAGCAACGCCGCGUGAGUGAAGAAGGUCUUCGGAUCGUAAAACUCUGUUAUUAGGGAAGAACAAAUGUGUAAGUAACUAUGCACGUCUUGACGGUACCUAAUCAGAAAGCCACGGCUAACUACGUG